This 23-nucleotide non-coding RNA is filed under the name Drosophila melanogaster (fruit fly). RNAcentral also lists the same sequence under 2 other names. Lineage: Eukaryota; Metazoa; Arthropoda; Insecta; Diptera; Drosophilidae. The record is from RNAcentral.
GAGACCUCAGGUCAGGCGGGGCU